CUUCCAGGAGCAGAGAGGAGCAAACGCAUUUCUCUACCCUGGGAACUUGUUGCUCCCCUAAACUCCAGCAGAACAGAGAAAGUACCAGAACUCUGCACACCCGAGGUUAGCACCUGUGGACACCACUCAGGAGGUUUGUGACGUCUUCCCUUUUGUUGAUGUAGCACAUUUAUGGACUUUCAUAUGUGGAUCAUACUGGCAUGUCUGGAAUAAAUCCCACUUGAUCAUGGGACCCGAUUAAGGUAUGGAAAUGUGCAUCAGUCCCAACAUGUCUAAGAGUGUUAACAGCCUGUGUCCUUUCCUGAAAAGGCUGAACUUCAAGUUAAGAUUAAUACUGCUUAUGUGCUCUCCUGCCCCUCAAGGGUAGAACAUCAACAUUUUCAAGAAGAAACAAAAAAGAGAAGUCUAAAAAGUUAACAGCCACUCUUGUUCUACAAAUAUAUUCCCAGGUAUAGAGUUAGGCUGAGAAGAGCAUUGUUUAUUAAAUGAAUAGAGAAAAUGGUUUUCAAAACAAGUAAGGACCAGAUUUGGGGUGAAUUAACUUCUCACUUGCAAGAGAAGUGAGGAAGUGCAUUCUUGGUAAUAAAGAGUGGCAACUUAAUUGUUACCAGUGAAUUUCAAUGCUCUUGUGGGAAGCAUAAUGGGAAUUCCAUCAGACAAGGUUCGG
Talpa occidentalis (Iberian mole) is the source of this 667-nucleotide long non-coding RNA. RefSeq lists it as uncharacterized. The transcript has 4 exons. Lineage: Eukaryota; Metazoa; Chordata; Mammalia; Eulipotyphla; Talpidae. The record is from RefSeq and is a predicted model, not a curated record.